CAAACCAAGGGAGAUGGCAUUCCUCCCGGGCCGUGCCCAAUCGCCGCAAGGCUGAUGAUGCCUAUCGAACG
Molecule: non-coding RNA, 71 nt
Filed under: Frateuria sp.
Lineage: Bacteria; Pseudomonadati; Pseudomonadota; Gammaproteobacteria; Lysobacterales; Rhodanobacteraceae
Description: Fluoride sequence
Rfam family: Fluoride riboswitch aptamer (crcB RNA motif)
Source: RNAcentral